GAGAGGGGAGGUCUGAGGCAUGGGGAGGAUCAGGACCAGAGUCAGAGAGAAAACUUUCAGCCACAGGGGUUUAUGGAUGCCUCAGGAUAGGUGAGGCUGCUCCCAAGAAGGAGGUCCUGAGGGAGCAGGAGGUGAGCUCAGCUGCACACAGAGGACUCAGUUGGGGAGACUCCCUCAAAAGUGGCAGCCACCCUGAGUCACUAAGUCUGUGACUCACCUCUGGCAGAGAGGAGGCAGGACAAGUAACAAAGCUGGUGCUUCCUGGGAUGUUAUCUGUGGGCCAGUCCCUGGUUUGCAAAUCCCUUCCGUGCAUGAACUUAUCUAAAGCCCUAUGAGGUGGAGCUAGUACCGGCACUAUCCCAUACUGCAGAUGGAGAAAUUGAGGCCCUGUGCGGUGGGGGUUAUUCCAGACUCUUCGGCCAGGACACAGGCAUUUGGCUAAACCUAGUGUUUGUGGCAGGGUCUGUUCUGAUUGGCCGAUGCCUGUCCUACUGGUUAGUCAAUGUUUUGAAGGUCACCCUGGUUACACAGCUGGAGGAGGCAGAAUCCCAACUAACCCCUGGGGCUGGAGCCCUGGUCUGAACCAGGAUCCUCUCUCCGUCUAGCGCCGCAGCGCACCUCAGGACAAGUAAUGUGCGUCGAAGGGCUUUGGAAACUGCAAGGCACAGUAUAAAUAACAGGUUCCUUCAUUCCUCCUGGGCAGGAACUUUGGCCUCAACAGUUCCUUCUUUGUUGAGGCCAAAGAAGCUGGGCCAUGAGAAGGCAGAGGAAACGCUGCUGUGGGGAACCAGCAUUCUCUCUGCUUACUCAACGGGGAAAGUGAGUCAGAAGGGAAGCCUCCCUGAGUGGAGCCCCAUGGUCAGCCCCUGGGAGGUUCUCACGUGCCAGACGCCAUCCGGCACUAACCAGGUUAGCCUGGACUUGUCCCCAGGGCCCGUCCAGGCUCUCCUGCAACUGGCCACCAGGGGGCGCCGCUCCCCCAGCCUUCCUCUUACUGAACCUACCCCCCACCACCCCCCCAACAACCUGCUCGCGAGAAACCAGGCCUUGGAAGGAGUCCCGGGGAGCAGGCACCAGAGACUUUGAAAAGUGGCAAAAACGCGGGAGAUGCUGAGUGGAGCCCUGUGGAGGAGUGCCUGCUCCCAUUUUACAGAUGAGGAAUUUGAGGCCCAAAGAUGUUGGGUAAGAUCAAGAGGCUAGGGACAGGCAGCGCUGCGUCAUUUGCUUCCAAGGUCAGUUCCUAAUGGGACCACAAGCAAAUGCUAGCUCAUUUGGCCCUGUUGCCUAGCGGGGUCUCCCCCCCCGCCCCCCGUUGAUCCUAUGUUCUGAGUCGUGGCCAACACCACAACCUAUUCCCCCACUGUGUUCCAGCAACAAUUCCAGCUGCCCCUUCUCCAACCUGAACUUUCUGGAAGCCUGGGCACCUGCUUCAUUGUUUUCCAGGGACCCCCAUCAGCCACCCAUCCCACACCCUCCCCAUCUGGGCAGAGCCGGGAGCCCCCUCUGCAGCCCUGUCCUGCUUGACAUCCCUUCCCCACCCCAGGGACCCCGCGGGGUCAGGCUUUGCUCCUCGACACCCCACGGUAGGCAGCAGCACGAAUAAACAAUGGGACAUUUGAACCAGGAAGAGCCUGUGGUUGAGGCCAAAACAGGCACCAAGGUUUUCUCUCAGCUCCUACCAACUCCUUUUAUGGCCUCUGGGCCCAGUUCCUUCUUCAUAAAAAGUCAGAACUG
Homo sapiens (human) is the source of this 1734-nucleotide long non-coding RNA. RefSeq lists it as uncharacterized. The transcript has 2 exons. The record is from RefSeq and is a predicted model, not a curated record. Lineage: Eukaryota; Metazoa; Chordata; Mammalia; Primates; Hominidae.